Non-coding RNA from Elaeis guineensis (African oil palm), 938 nucleotides. The record is from RefSeq and is a predicted model, not a curated record. Lineage: Eukaryota; Viridiplantae; Streptophyta; Magnoliopsida; Arecales; Arecaceae.
UGACGAUGACACUUAUACACAAUGUAUGCCCUACAAUUUUGUACCAGCUGAUGAUUUAAAUGCUACGACGACGUUGGUUAGGACAGAAUUUGAAGGAAACACUACUGCUUGAUUGUUACUGAUAAUAAUUAUUUAUGAUGUAUAUAUUUUGUAUUAAUUAUUGUGUUAUUUUACUCCAUAUAUUAACUGAUUCUACCUUUUAUUUAUAUAAAUGCUAGGUGACAUCAUGCGUCGCAGGGGACGAUAUGCUGGUGUGCAGUUCCAGUUUUCACAGACCGAGGUCGGUACGUCUUCUUUAACACAGCAGCCUGAGGCCAGUUCAGCUGCACAGCAUUCUAAGCCCUGUCCUUCAUCAUCAGCACAGCACGAUCCUCUUGUUCAUCAGCCAGAUGAUGAGAUACAUGUGCAGGACGGAUCCGGAAGAGUACGCCCCAGACGCGGACCCACAGUAGUACGAGAUGUAUGGCAGAUGCGUGAGGGCAAGAGAAUUGUUGUGGAGUGCAAUCAGCUAGGUCAGUCAAUUAAGAAAGCUACCUGCUUAUUGACUUUAUUUUUGGGGACUGUUGCUCGGAGGCCUCAGCUAUGUCCGUUGGGCUAUGCAAAAUGGAAUGACAUGCUUCCAACGUACAAAGUUGAGCUCCUCUGAGUUAUAGAGAGCAAGUUUGUUCUCCCUCCAUCCACUCAUGAUUUUAUAAUGAAGUCUCUCAACCGCAAAUGAAAAGAAUAUAGAGCACAAUUGAAGAGGGACUAUAUGAGACAGGGUAUGACAGAGGAGGAGGUUGCUAGGAAUUGUCCUCCUGAUGUACCUCCUCAUCAGUGGAUGGAGUUGGUUCAUUAUUGGUUCUCCGAGAGGGCACAGGUAUAUUAUCUGCUCAUUAUCUUUUCUUUUAAAUAUUUUAUAAAAAUAUUGAUUUAUAUUAUAUAUUAUAUAUUAUACA